CCGAGUUAGGGUCUUCUUGGCCCGACCUCCAACCCUUUGUUUAUUAUACCAUGUUGCUUUGGUGGGCCUGCCUUUCGGGGCUGCCGGGGGCAUCACUGCCCCUGACCCGUGCCUGCCAGGAGCCUUCUUAAAUUCAGUCUUUAACUGUGCUGUCUGAGUCCCAGUAUCAAAAUAUAAA
This 178-nucleotide unclassified non-coding RNA is filed under the name uncultured Chaetothyriales. Its description in RNAcentral is "sequence contains ITS1". Lineage: Eukaryota; Fungi; Ascomycota; Eurotiomycetes; Chaetothyriales. The record is from RNAcentral.